RNAcentral lists this ribosomal RNA (207 nucleotides) under uncultured bacterium. RNAcentral's name for it is "partial 16S ribosomal RNA". It matches the Rfam family "Bacterial small subunit ribosomal RNA", at positions 568 to 774 of the family's 1533-position model. The record is from RNAcentral.
CGCGUAGGCGGUCUCUUAAGUCAGCUGUGAAAGCCCGGGGCUCAACCCCGGAAGUGCAUUUGAAACUAAGGGACUUGAGUAUGGGAGAGGGAAGUGGAAUUCCUGGUGUAGCGGUGAAAUGCGUAGAUAUCAGGAGGAACACCGGUGGCGAAGGCGACUUCCUGGACCAAUACUGACGCUCAGGCGCGAAGGCGUGGGGAGCAAACA